Molecule: ribosomal RNA, 495 nt
Filed under: Triticum aestivum (bread wheat)
Lineage: Eukaryota; Viridiplantae; Streptophyta; Magnoliopsida; Poales; Poaceae
Description: partial small subunit ribosomal RNA
Source: RNAcentral
AUGUGCUGUACUUGUCAAGUAGUUUUGUUCUUAGUUUCUUCCAUGUUUCGAUCGGCUUCUUCAUGUUCGCCGUUGCGACAGGUCACGUACGGCCUUGUGGUUGUGGGCAAGGGACAUAUCACAUCUGCACGGUACAUGUUGGUGCUGUUGUUGUUAGACUCUUGUGCCUUGCUGCACUGUAAGGUCACGAGAUUUACGAGUACAAUCUCUGUCAUUUCUUUCUGUCGCGACUUUAGCUGCCUGCCUGCCUGCCUCUGUUUGUGCCAUCUUUCCAUCAAUGCUGCAGUACUAGUACGUGCUGUGUCUUGUUCUUUUGGUUGGGAACUCUGGUCUUGUUUGGGUCGACAGAUGGUGAUUGCUGUGGAAACCAGUGGCAGUGGGAAUCUAUGUGUUGGACAAUUUGGCACCGAAGGAAACAGCGCAGAAACUCAACUAAUAGUGCAACUGAAAGGUCCAGUUGCUCUGCUUAACUUGCGCCAGGUGCCUCUGUCGUAA